GCUGGCGUAGCUUAACACCAAAGCAUGACACUGAAGAUGUCAAGAUGAGCCUUUAAAAGCUCCGUAAGCA
RNAcentral lists this transfer RNA (70 nucleotides) under Sargocentron spiniferum (sabre squirrelfish). RNAcentral's name for it is "tRNA-Phe". It matches the Rfam family "tRNA". Rfam says of the family: Transfer RNA (tRNA) molecules are approximately 80 nucleotides in length. Their secondary structure includes four short double-helical elements and three loops (D, anti-codon, and T loops). Further hydrogen bonds mediate the characteristic L-shaped molecular structure. tRNAs have two regions of fundamental functional importance: the anti-codon, which is responsible for specific mRNA codon recognition, and the 3' end, to which the tRNAs corresponding amino acid is attached (by aminoacyl-tRNA synthetases). tRNAs cope with the degeneracy of the genetic code in two manners: having more than one tRNA (with a specific anti-codon) for a particular amino acid; and 'wobble' base-pairing, i.e. permitting non-standard base-pairing at the 3rd anti-codon position. RNAcentral also lists the same sequence under 2 other names. Lineage: Eukaryota; Metazoa; Chordata; Actinopteri; Holocentriformes; Holocentridae. The record is from RNAcentral.